GAUGAACGCUAGCUACAGGCUUAACACAUGCAAGUCGCGGGGCAGCGAUUCACUUAGCUUGCUAAGUGAGAUGGCGACCGGCGCACGGGUGAGUAACGCGUAUCCAACCUGCCCAUCACUUGGGAAUAACCUUGCGAAAGUAAGACUAAUGCCCAAUGACAUUUAUAGAAGGCAUCUGAAAUGAAUUAAAGAUUUAUCGGUGAUGGAUGGGGAUGCGUCUGAUUAGCUUGUUGGCGGGUAACGGCCCACCAAGGCGACGAUCAGUAGGGGUUCUGAGAGGAAGGUCCCCCCANAUUGGAACUGAGACACGGUUCAAACUCCUACGGGGAGGCAGCAGUGAGGAAUAUUGGUCCAAUGGGGCGAGAGCCUGAACCAGCCAAGUAGCGUGCAGGAUGACGGCCCUAUGGGUUGUAAACUGCUUUAUAGGGGAAUAAAGUGAGCCACGUGUGGCUUUUUGCAUGUACCCUAUGAAUAAGGACCGGCUAAUUCCGUGCCAG
RNAcentral lists this ribosomal RNA (497 nucleotides) under uncultured bacterium. Its description in RNAcentral is "bacterial SSU rRNA". It matches the Rfam family "Bacterial small subunit ribosomal RNA", at positions 28 to 511 of the family's 1533-position model. The record is from RNAcentral.